Molecule: long non-coding RNA, 1824 nt
Organism: Eriocheir sinensis (Chinese mitten crab)
Lineage: Eukaryota; Metazoa; Arthropoda; Malacostraca; Decapoda; Varunidae
Exons: 3
Source: RefSeq, a predicted model, not a curated record
AGAGGAAAGAAUAGCUUGAAUAUAAACGGCGUCUGAUAUCGGGCUCUAUCGCAAUUCUGAUACCUUUUAAAAUCUAUACCUACCUAUCUCAGCGUACAUGCAUGGAUUGAAAAAAAUGGCAACUGCCCAUAAACAAACAUGGAAAAACUACAGACUGAAGUGUAUUCUAGCUAAAAAAAAAAAAAAAAAAAAAUAUCCCGAGCCUUGUGAUUCGAAUGUCGAAGAAACGGAACAGUUGCCGCCCUGACCGAGCCGAGGGGCCACGCGCGUCGGUGGUGUGGGUUUGUAGUGUAAGUGGUCCAUAAAGUGAUCUAUUUACGCGACUCGAGCAAGAAACUUCUUGGGUGACGUCCGGGAAUGUCUACUGCAACUAAGGUCCUCCAGCGGCACCAGCUCCAUGAUGUCCAUUGAGGUGUUGGCCAGACCAUGGAGCCUCUCAUUCAUCUCAAACAGAUGGGGUAGGAGUGUUUGAUAGGAGGAGGUUGCCAACUGCUGAAGUUUACGCUAAGAAUAGCAGAAGCACAUAUGAUCAAUUUUUGUUAUUCAUGUUGCUACAUACAAUAUUCCGGUGGGAAAUGACUUGUGUUAUAUAAAUACACCUGUAGAUGUGACCAAGGCUGCCGCUGAUUUAUUUAAGUACACCCAUAGUCUCAGGAUUAAAAUGGAGAAUAAUAUGUCCAGAAAAAUAAAUUAAUAAUUGAAUUUCUCCUACAGAUUAUUAGAAUCAUUAAAUGAGGAACUACUGUAUGAAUGGAGUGGGUUUUGAUUGGGUCUUGAGGAAAUGACUUGGAAAAAAUAUUUCUCAGCCAGCGGUCAUGUAGUCAUGUGGGGUGGCAUGUAGUUCUUUUGGCCCUGAUGCCCCCAAGCUCGCUGCAUGCCAAACACUGCCGUGUGAUUGAACAAAAGUACUAUUUCAAAUUUUGAUCAUAAUUAGGACUGAAAAUACUGAUUGAGAUUCUAAAUAUCGAGAUGCGAAGUUAACUUCUUAUGGGGAAAAAUGCAAUUGGGACCAAAGCCUUGCCAACUAAUCUAUAUCAACUACGUUAACUUGCCAUUACGAUGAUCGCGUUUCUCACUUCCAGGUUUUUUCACACCUUGUUGUGGUCCUUGACUCCCAUUCUCGCUCUUACCUAUCCCCUGGGCCUUUCCAUUGGCCACAGGAAACAUGGUGAAUGGGAUCCAGGUAGCUAAGUAUGUAAACAACCUUGACCACACGCUGGGUUUGAACAGCUGAUGGGUGGCUGAUGAUGAUUAUGAUGAUGAGUUGGUGGCAUAGCCUUUGUAUCGGUGCCACCUAAACAGUAUUUUUAUUAGGGCUUCUCUGGGUGUGGCUGUGUUUAUUAUGGGUUUAGGCUUUUCAAUUUGCUGAUUCUUAUUUUCCACAUGUUGUAUAAGACUUCUUUCUUUUCUUCCAUCUCUUCUUUUUCAAAAGGUGGGAGAGCAAUUGAAAAAAUCAGUGAUCGAGAUUCGUGUAAUUUGAUUGAGAUAUGUGAAUCAUGGGUUCUUGAUGGUGCAAUCGAGAUGCAAAAUAUCGAGAUGAGAUUGAUUGAGAUUCGUGACUUUACUGUAUAUACUUGUCAACUAUUUCAUAAACCCAUAUUUUUCUCACAAUGGAUCUGAGUGAAUCACAGUGGUCGUGCACAGCAAUGGGAGAAAAAUAAACGGUAAACCAGAAAUAACUAAGAAUCACAUCCCUGGUGGAGUGAACUGCAUAGUCGUACAAUGACAAUUCUCUGUAUGUUAAUUGUGUUGUGAAAACUGUGUCAUGAAGAAUGUGAGUAGAGGAUGAACCCACUUAUUAUUGACUGAACUGAAGACUUAGUC